CGCCAUGCCAUGCGACUGUCUCGGGUCUAAGAAUUUUGUUUCCGAAUAUGUCGUUGGAAAAGUGUGUUCAAAAUCGUUGUCCUUCUCACAGAGAAAAAUAUGUACGAAGUGAUAAUAUUGUGAUAGUGAGUGUAUAUUUAUUAUGAAACAACAAGUGAUGUUUUCUUGGAAAUUGAAACCUUGAACCUGCACCCUGUCGGUUAGAGGUUGGAUACGGCAGUUGCAGUUUGAAACUGACAAUGCAUUCUACACGUGAGCACACGCAAAAACAGCGUAAUUUUACAUCACGUUUGGCAUCCUGAUUUGAUCUUGGUCUGGCGACCGUGCGUACUGUCCGACACGUAUAUAGUCCGAGGUGGAAGCUCUGCAAUUUGGGAAAAAUCGGUAAGUGAAUCGUUUAAGUUCUCAG
This is a non-coding RNA of Megalopta genalis, 409 nucleotides long. The record is from RefSeq and is a predicted model, not a curated record. NCBI's taxonomy places the organism in Eukaryota, Metazoa, Arthropoda, Insecta, Hymenoptera, Halictidae.